This 460-nucleotide ribosomal RNA is filed under the name uncultured bacterium. RNAcentral describes it as "partial 16S ribosomal RNA". It matches the Rfam family "Bacterial small subunit ribosomal RNA", at positions 338 to 795 of the family's 1533-position model. The record is from RNAcentral.
CCUACGGGCGGCAGCAGUGAGGAAUCUUGGUCAAUGGACGAGAGUCUGAACCAGCCAAGUAGCGUGAAGGAUGACUGCCCUAUGGGUUGUAAACUUCUUUUAUAUGGGAAUAAAAUGUUCCACGUGUGGGAUUUUGUAUGUACCAUAUGAAUAAGGAUCGGCUAAAUCCGUGCCAGCAGCCGCGGUAAUACGGAGGAUCCGAGCGUUAUCCGGAUUUAUUGGGUUUAAAGGGAGCGUAGGUGGAUUGUUAAGUCAGUUGUGAAAGUUUGCGGCUCAACCGUAAAAUUGCAGUUGAAACUGGCAGUCUUGAGUACAGUAGAGGUGAGCGGAAUUCGUGGUGUAGCGGUGAAAUGCUUAGAUAUCACGAAGAACUCCGAUUGCGAAGGCAGUUCACUGGACUGCAACUGACACUGAGGCUCGAAAGUGUGGGUAUCAAACAGGAUUAGAUACCCGAGUAGUC